Molecule: ribosomal RNA, 443 nt
Filed under: uncultured bacterium
Lineage: Bacteria
Description: partial 16S ribosomal RNA
Rfam family: Bacterial small subunit ribosomal RNA
Source: RNAcentral
CCUACGGGAGGCAGCAGUGGGGAAUAUUGGGCAAUGGGCGCAAGCCUGACCCAGCAACGCCGCGUGAAGGAAGAAGGCUUUCGGGUUGUAAACUUCUUUUCUCAGGGACGAAGCAAGUGACGGUACCUGAGGAAUAAGCCACGGCUAACUACGUGCCAGCAGCCGCGGUAAUACGUAGGUGGCAAGCGUUAUCCGGAUUUACUGGGUGUAAAGGGCGUGUAGGCGGGAAAGCAAGUCAGAUGUGAAAACCAUGGGCUCAACCUGUGGCCUGCAUUUGAAACUGGUUUUCUUGAGUGCUGGAGAGGCAGGCGGAAUUCGUGGUGUAGCGGUGAAAUGCAUAGAUAUUAGGAGGAACACCGAUGGCGAAGGCAGUCUGCUGGACAGCAACUGACGCUGAGGCGCGAAAGCGUGGGGAGCAAACAGGAUUAGAUACCCGAGUAGUC